UCCAAACCGUAAACGAUGCUUGCUAGGUGUUUCUUUAUGUAUAUAGAGAAGUGUCGUAACCUAACGGGUUAAGCAAGCCGCCUGAGUAGUAUAUUCGCAAGAAUGAAACUCAAAGGGAUAGGCGGGGGAACACACAAGCAGUGGAUGAUCUAGAUUAAUUGGAUAUUAAGCCAACAAUCUUACCUAGACUUGACAUAUGUUGUGUCAUUAGUGAAAGCUAGUUAUUUUGUAGC
RNAcentral lists this ribosomal RNA (233 nucleotides) under uncultured bacterium. RNAcentral's name for it is "partial 16S ribosomal RNA". It matches the Rfam family "Bacterial small subunit ribosomal RNA", at positions 794 to 1023 of the family's 1533-position model. The record is from RNAcentral.